UUCAAGGCGUGAUAGCGCCUUCUAACUCUAAUUUCCCUCCACUUUCUACAAAAGCUCCAAUAGGCCCCCCACCCAUAUUACAAAAUCACCAUAAAAAUGGAUCAAGCCGACCCGAAAUCCAGCGACCUCCUCCGCCUUCCACCGCCAGCCGCCGCCUCCAAAGCCCGCCCCAAACGCUUUGUAAAAAACCAAAUUCCGGACUCAAUCCUGAACGACGCCGCUCUGAACUCUGCCAUCUCCGUCUUACCAUCCAAUUACAAUUUCGAAAUCCACAAGUGCGUGUGGCGCGUUCGCUCCUCAGCCGCAAAGCGCGUUGCCCUCCAGUUCCCGGAAGGCCUUCUCAUGUACUCUCUCAUCAUCUCCGAUAUCCUCCAGACCUUUACUUCCGUCACCCACUGCUUCGUCCUUGGUGACGUCACAUACGGCGCGUGCUGCGUCGACGACCUCUCAGCCGCCGCUCUCUCCGCCGACCUGUUAAUCCACUUCGGUCAUAGUUGCCUUGUUCCCAUUGAUUUUACUGCUAUUCCUUGCUUAUAUAUAUUCGUUGAGAUAUUUAUUGAUAGUAAUAAAUUGUUUAAUCAAAUAAAGCUGAAAUUUUCGAGUUCUGAAAAUUUCAGCUUUAUUUUAGCUGGGACCAUACAAUUUUCCCAUGCUAUUAGGGCUGUAAAGCCCGAGUUGGAGAAAUUAGGGUUUAGGGUUUUAGUUCCCCAGGCAAAACCCCUGUCCGCUGGGGAAGUACUGGGGUGCACUGCCCCUAGUGUGAGUAUCAAUAAAGAAUUCACCCGUGUUGAGAGGGAGGGAAAGGAGGAAAAUGAGGAGGUUAUAAUAUUUGUGGCGGAUGGGAGGUUUCAUUUGGAGGCGUUUAUGAUAGCAAAUCCUGGGGUUAAAACAUUUAGGUAUGAUCCGUUUUUGGGGAAGUUGUUUUUGGAGGAGUAUGAUUAUGAUGGAAUGAAGGAGGAGAGAAGGAGGGCGAUUGAGAGGGCAAGAGGGGCUAAGAAUUGGGGGCUUGUGUUGGGGACGUUGGGGAGGCAAGGGAAUCCGAGGAUUUUGGAGAGGCUGGAAGGGAAGAUGACGGAGAAAGGUUUGGAUUGGAUGGUGGUUUUGAUGUCUGAGUUAUCUCCUCAAAGGAUUGCAUUGUUUGAGGACUCAGUGGAUGCUUGGGUUCAAAUUGCUUGUCCAAGGUUGUCAAUUGAUUGGGGGGAUGCAUUUGGGAAGCCGCUUUUGACUACUUUUGAAGCAGAGAUUGCUCUUGGUGAUUUACCAGGGUGGUGGGAGAGGAAAUCAAAGGCUGGUGUGGAGUUGAGUUGCAGCAGUGGAUCAGAGCGUUCUGAGAAUAAAUCAUGUUGUGCGAGUAAUAGUGGAGAUAGGAAGGAGAAGGAUGAGGUUGUUGUGGAUUAUCCCAUGGAUUACUAUGCUCAGGAUGGUGGAGAAUGGAAUUCUUGUUACACUAAGAAGCCAACUCGCAAUCUGCGUAAAAAUUUACAGGCUGCUACUUACACUGCCAGUACCUGAAUAUCCAAUAAAUUGACAGUACAUUCCACAUAUUGCCUUGAAGGUGACUUGACAUCCCAUGAAGCCAUGAAAUGCAUAAAAUCGUUGAAAGCUAUUCUAUGCUUUUUGGAGUGCUUCCUGGCAUUUGCAGGCAUGACGGCUGGCCACUCUAGUUCUUCAUUUUUGAACUUUGUGAGCGAGUGGGGCAAUGUUUCCUCUUUCUUGCUGUUGCUUGUGGAUCUCUUGCUAAAUGGGUUUGGAAUGGUCUUACUGUUUUCUGGCCGUCAUGGUUCCUGCAACUUGCUGGAGGUAAUGUGACACCAGGCAGUCUGGUUGAUGUGUAUCAUCUGGCUCGCAAUGUACUUCAAGCAUAUAGGGAAGGGAUGGGACAGGAUGCUGGUGUUAUGGUUUCGAUGCAAAAGUUAAGAGUUCUUCAGACACGCAAUAGUUUUGAUGCAAAAGUUAAAGAGUUCUUCAGACACGCAAAAGUUUUUUCUCUGGAAGGUCUGUUGUUUUUGUGGAAUGUUAGGAGUGACAUGAUUGAAUUCUCCAUCGUUAAUGGGGCCUAUGCUUUGAGCCUAGUUUUCUUUUGGCUGGCUUUUGUGUUCUUCAGUCUUCACUUUUCUGUCUUGCUUUUGGGCUUUGGCUGCUGGUCGUGUGUCUUUGGUGACUAUAUAAAAAAUAAAUUCUUGCCA
Coffea eugenioides is the source of this 2186-nucleotide RNA transcript. It is a transcript of the gene named 2-(3-amino-3-carboxypropyl)histidine synthase subunit 1, with no coding region annotated. The record is from RefSeq and is a predicted model, not a curated record. NCBI's taxonomy places the organism in Eukaryota, Viridiplantae, Streptophyta, Magnoliopsida, Gentianales, Rubiaceae. The transcript has 2 exons.